UUUAUAUAUUGCUUGAUUUAUCUGACAAUACAUAAUCAGGAGUAUGUAGUCUCCGGCGAGCUCACAUUGACGGUGCGGAACCUUUGCUAGACGCCGGUCCCACGUUAUCAAUGGCUGCAUGCAGCGUCUCGCCGAAGCAACAGUCAAUAGCCAAGGGUGGGAGUUCCUGCAGAACAGGAGAACUCGGUAAUGAUCCUUCCGCAGGUUCACCUACGGAAA
This 219-nucleotide unclassified non-coding RNA is filed under the name uncultured fungus. RNAcentral describes it as "sequence contains ITS1". The record is from RNAcentral. Lineage: Eukaryota; Fungi.